Gossypium hirsutum (cotton) is the source of this 162-nucleotide non-coding RNA. The record is from Rfam. NCBI's taxonomy places the organism in Eukaryota, Viridiplantae, Streptophyta, Magnoliopsida, Malvales, Malvaceae.
UUACUUAUCUGGACGGGGUCGAUGGGUUAUCUACAAGGCUCAUCGCCUAGGUAAGCAACUUCAAUAGCACAUGGGAAUGGCGCUUGUCUAAGGUCUCCUUAAAGUAGGAGAGCCUACGUCAUAAUUUGUGGUAGUCGGGUCCUGCGUCCGCGCUUCCCCUGU